GGAAGGUCGGCGCGGGCGGUGUUUUCGCCAACCCGGUCAGGACCGAGAGGUAGCAGCCGUAACGAACUUCAACGGGUCGUGUCCGAUCUUCCGCU
Molecule: signal recognition particle RNA, 95 nt
Filed under: Alphaproteobacteria bacterium
Lineage: Bacteria; Pseudomonadati; Pseudomonadota; Alphaproteobacteria
Description: signal recognition particle sRNA small type
Rfam family: Bacterial small signal recognition particle RNA
About the family: The signal recognition particle (SRP) is a universally conserved ribonucleoprotein involved in the co-translational targeting of proteins to membranes. Archaeal SRP consists of a 7S RNA and homologues of the eukaryotic SRP19 and SRP54 proteins.
Source: RNAcentral